AUACGUAGGGGGCGAGCGUUGUCCGGAAUGAUUGGGCGUAAAGGGCGCGUAGGCGGCCCGGUAAGUCUGGAGUGAAAGUCCUGUUUUUAAGAUGGGAAUUGCUUUGGAUACUGUCGGGCUUGAGUGCAGGAGAGGUAAGUGGAAUUCCCAGUGUAGCGGUGAAAUGCGUAGAGAUCGGGAGGAACACCAGUGGCGAAGGCGGGUAACUGGACUGCAACUGACGCUGAGGCGCGAAAGUGUGGGGAGCAAACAGGAUUAGAUACCCUGGUAGUCCACACUGUAAACGAUGAAUGCUAGGUGUAAGAGGUAUCGACCCCUUUUGUGCCGGAGUCAACACAAUAAGCAUUCCGCCUGGGGAGUACGGCCGCAAGGUUGAAACUCAAAUGAAUUGACGGGG
Molecule: ribosomal RNA, 397 nt
Filed under: uncultured bacterium
Lineage: Bacteria
Description: partial 16S ribosomal RNA
Rfam family: Bacterial small subunit ribosomal RNA
Source: RNAcentral